RNAcentral lists this ribosomal RNA (1119 nucleotides) under Enterococcus sp. DJ3. RNAcentral describes it as "bacterial SSU rRNA". It matches the Rfam family "Bacterial small subunit ribosomal RNA", at positions 32 to 1166 of the family's 1533-position model. The record is from RNAcentral. Lineage: Bacteria; Bacillati; Bacillota; Bacilli; Lactobacillales; Enterococcaceae.
AGGAGUGGCGGCGUGCUAUACAUGCAAGUCGAACGCUUUUUCUUUCACCGGAGCUUGCUCCACCGAAAGAAAAGGAGUGGCGAACGGGUGAGUAACACGUGGGUAACCUGCCCAUCAGAAGGGGAUAACACUUGGAAACAGGUGCUAAUACCGUAUAACAAUCGAAACCGCAUGGUUUCGGUUUGAAAGGCGCUUUUGCGUCACUGAUGGAUGGACCCGCGGUGCAUUAGCUAGUUGGUGAGGUAACGGCUCACCAAGGCAACGAUGCAUAGCCGACCUGAGAGGGUGAUCGGCCACAUUGGGACUGAGACACGGCCCAAACUCCUACGGGAGGCAGCAGUAGGGAAUCUUCGGCAAUGGACGCAAGUCUGACCGAGCAACGCCGCGUGAGUGAAGAAGGUUUUCGGAUCGUAAAACUCUGUUGUUAGAGAAGAACAAGGAUGAGAGUAGAAUGUUCAUCCCUUGACGGUAUCUAACCAGAAAGCCACGGCUAACUACGUGCCAGCAGCCGCGGUAAUACGUAGGUGGCAAGCGUUGUCCGGAUUUAUUGGGCGUAAAGCGAGCGCAGGCGGUUUCUUAAGUCUGAUGUGAAAGCCCCCGGCUCAACCGGGGAGGGUCAUUGGAAACUGGGAAACUUGAGUGCAGAAGAGGAGAGUGGAAUUCCAUGUGUAGCGGUGAAAUGCGUAGAUAUAUGGAGGAACACCAGUGGCGAAGGCGGCUCUCUGGUCUGUAACUGACGCUGAGGCUCGAAAGCGUGGGGAGCAAACAGGAUUAGAUACCCUGGUAGUCCACGCCGUAAACGAUGAGUGCUAAGUGUUGGAGGGUUUCCGCCCUUCAGUGCUGCAGCUAACGCAUUAAGCACUCCGCCUGGGGGAGUACGACCGCAAGUGAAACUCAAAGGAAUGACGGGGCCCGCACAAGCGGUGGAGCAUGUGGUUUAAUUCGAAGCACCGCGAAGAACUUACAGUCUGACAUCUUUGACCACUCUAGAAGAUAGAGCUCCUCGGGCAAGUGACAGUGUGCAUGUGUCGUCAGCUCUGUCUGAAUGUGGGUAGUCGCACGAGCGCACUAUUGUAGUUGCAUCAUUAGUGGACUCUAGCGAAACUGCGGUUACAACCG